GCGGGGCUACCCGCUGAGUUUAAGC
RNAcentral lists this ribosomal RNA (25 nucleotides) under Tripodanthus flagellaris. RNAcentral's name for it is "partial 28S ribosomal RNA". The record is from RNAcentral. Lineage: Eukaryota; Viridiplantae; Streptophyta; Magnoliopsida; Santalales; Loranthaceae.